CUAAAUUAGAAUUUUCUACUUUAACUUCUAGGUUUUCUAACCUUCAGUCUUGUAUGCCAUUUCUUUAACUCUGCUUCAUUCCAUGUAAUUUCUUCAGAUUUCUCUUUCAAUCUACUAGAUAUACGUGCAGUCACAGUUCACAGAGACAGUGUAAAUUGUAGUAAUCAUCUUCAGAGCAUUUCCAAAUCCAUGAAGGAAAAAUGCUUACUCCCAUAUAUAAGAACAUUUUGCCUUAGAGAUGGCAUUAGCAACCAACCACGUAUAGCCAAGAGGUAGCUGUUUCUGCUAGCACCAAUCACAAGUCUGGCAAAACAACUUAUGUGAUUUAUCUCUUUUUGCCUUUGUAAACCCUUGCCUCUUUUGUCUUCUUUGGAGCCACGUUUCCGGUUUCUGUCUGAAUCUCUGUCUCCUGAACUGCAAUUCUAAUUGUACAAAUAAAUAUCUGCUGUUUGAAUUGUAG
RNAcentral lists this long non-coding RNA (460 nucleotides) under Equus caballus (horse). RNAcentral's name for it is "lncRNA (ENSECAG00000054341.1)". The record is from RNAcentral. Lineage: Eukaryota; Metazoa; Chordata; Mammalia; Perissodactyla; Equidae.